This is a long non-coding RNA of Sinocyclocheilus rhinocerous, 93 nucleotides long. RefSeq lists it as uncharacterized. Lineage: Eukaryota; Metazoa; Chordata; Actinopteri; Cypriniformes; Cyprinidae. The record is from RefSeq and is a predicted model, not a curated record. The transcript has 3 exons.
AAAGAGAGACCCUGUGACGUGAGGUCACCCCUGCAACUCGUUCAAACAACACACAGGACAAGCCAAAAUGUUCUGAAGUGUGCAUACAUUUCU